Molecule: long non-coding RNA, 1298 nt
Organism: Zingiber officinale
Lineage: Eukaryota; Viridiplantae; Streptophyta; Magnoliopsida; Zingiberales; Zingiberaceae
Exons: 4
Source: RefSeq, a predicted model, not a curated record
CCCGUGCUCUUCUCCUCUCCUUGUGAUAUCCCAAACCCGAACUUCCUCCUCACUUCCCCGAUCUCCCCUCUUCCUCUCUCUGUUAUCUCUCGUGAACGAGCGACGUCGCCGGAAACGAGGUCCCAGUUCCGGCGAUCUUCCUCCACCAACAUCGAUGUCUUAAGCUCAGGUCCAGUCGGAGUUUUUCCUCUCCGAAUCGCCAUCGAAUCGCGCCCUCUCGCGUCUCACUGCCAUCAUCGAUCGCUGGCGCAAAUCGGGGCUCGGAGCACAUAGGUGAGGAGCUAGCUUUGAUUCUUCUUCUUCCCUUUUGCCAUGUGCAACCGUGCCCUAAAUCCCUUCCAUCGGCUCCGAUCAGUCGUCGCGACGACAAGCCGUGCCCUAACAGCGAUCCUUAAGGCAUCGGAUUGCUGUGGAUUCUUCUUGUUGCCGAUCACUGCUUUCUUCUUUCUUGAAACUGUGGAGGUGUCGGAGUAAGUGAGGUGAGGUAAGGUUCUGUUCUUGCUGUGGAGUUGUUCUUGGUUCCGGCAACUCUCCAACAGCAGCUACCUUUUCUGGCAGCAACAUACUUGUGCUGUGGAUCAAUGGAUUAGGUUUGUGAGGUUCUAUGGCUAUCUUGGUUUCGGCAGCACCCAACCAGUAGCUCCUCUAGUUUCAGCAAUCAACAGUGACUGUUAAUUGAGGUUCUCAUCUAGUCCAGCAGCUUAAUUAAGGACUCUGAUUCGAGACAGGCGUCUCGACCUUGGAUUGCUUGACAGUACCUUCUAUUUGAGGCGGAUACCCUUUGACUUAUCUUUUGAUACUGUCUUAUGAUAUGUAUAGUUUAUAUAUAAUUACUAGGGGUAGAUGGUAGAUUUAGCACUUCCCUGGUUAUAGGUUAUUCGAUACCUAUAGACGGUUACUAGUGAUUGGUAGUUCAACACUUCCCCUGGAUUUAGAUUUGGUUGAUACUUGAUACAGGCUUCUACUGUUAUCUGCUAUACAUUAGGCUGGUAUACCUUUACUUCUUACCAUGUGUAUAUGUGUUCGUGGAUAUGGAUAUUUAUAGUGCUUCACUAUACUGGAUUAGUCGUUAUACAUAUUGGAUAUGUGAUGUUGGAUUCAUAUUGCUUAUAUCGUUGUUAUAUAUGUGUCCUUGGAUUUAUGCUGCUUCUUUCAGGGUUAUUUAUGUGUGUACCUUUUUGACACACACACACAUAUAUAUAUAUAUAUAUAUGGAGGAGGAUAUGUUCAGGUAUGACAUACUGUAGCCGCACGCACCAUAUCGCAUGAUUGUAUGCUGGGCGAUUGACGACUCCAUU